UGAGUAACCUGCCUUAACUCUGAGAUAAGCCUGGGAAACUGGGUCUAAUACCGGAUA
RNAcentral lists this ribosomal RNA (57 nucleotides) under uncultured bacterium. RNAcentral describes it as "partial 16S ribosomal RNA". The record is from RNAcentral.